This 2962-nucleotide long non-coding RNA is filed under the name Equus caballus (horse). RNAcentral describes it as "lncRNA (ENSECAG00000052096.1)". Lineage: Eukaryota; Metazoa; Chordata; Mammalia; Perissodactyla; Equidae. The record is from RNAcentral.
GCGAGUGAAGCAGCUUGCUCAAAGUCGUCUAGCUAUUAAGUAGUAUUAAGUAUUGGAUAGUUUUAAGUGGUAGGAUUACGGGGUGUAUGGCUUUCCUAGGGCUACUGUAACCAAUAACCAGAAAUUUAGUGGCUUAAGACAACAGGUGUUCUUUCACGGUUCUGGAGGCCAGAAAUCCAAAAUCAGGGUGUCGGCGGGUCUGCGCUGCCCCAGGAGUCUGCGGGGGAGGGUCCGUCCUUACCUCUUCCGGCUGCUGGUGGUUCCAGGUGUCCUUGGCUUGUGGCUGCAUCGCUCCAGGCUCUGCCUCUGUCUUCACCUCCCCUCUAGUGUCUGAGUCAAAUCUGUCCUCUCUCCUCUCUCUAAUUAGGACACCUGCUAGUGGGUUUAGAACCCAUCUAAAAUCCAGGAUGAUCUCAUCUUGAGAUCCUUAAUUUUUAGGUGUCCAAAUAAGGUCACGUUCAUAGGUGCCAGCGAUUAGGACGUGGGCAUACCUGUUUAGGGGGCCGCUGUUCAACCCACUGCAUGAGAAUUUACUGCUUUGUAGUAGGUUCCUUUGAAGAUCACAUUUCGCCGUCUCCACGUCUUAGGUAGACUGCAACAAAAAGACACACACACACACACACACACGCAAACAUGUGCCCUCAAGCCGAGAGUAGAGGACUUAAGGGGUCGCUGUGUUUCAAAGUCAUUCGUUUACUCAACAGAUAUUUAUUGAUAUGUAUGAAAGCGCUCUUAAUUAAGUGACAAUUAGAGGGUUGUUCUCUGCACACUGUGACCCUGGUCAGGCGGGCUGUAGCAGGCUUUACAAGGCAGCUCUGAGAUAUUAGGCUUUUAUGAGAGGGCAUGUGGGCUGCCCAGCCUGUCCUGGCUUCGUAUACUUUUAUUUUAUUAUUUUUAUGAACUGCCUUUAUUAAAAUGCGCGACUUAACGUAGGCUUCCAGAAAGAAAUUCACAAAUCAGAAGGUCUUUCAAAAGUAUUAAAAGAAAGUGGAAUGCUCUUUGCCAAUCGGCCCGUCCCAGUAAAAUAUGGUCGCCACAUGUCGGGGAAGGACGGACCGUUCCUGGGCUGCGUUCACCGUGCAUUCAAUAAACAGCCACGUGGUAACAUUAUUAUUCGUCUUCCUGCUCUCCUGCCUCCUGGUUUUGUCUCUGCCUCUGUCUUUCCCAGCAAAUAUAAUCCGGGGGCACCUGGACCCCGCCUGGCUGGCCUCUCUGAUUACGCCCAAGGAUUAAAAAACAGGACAGGAAAGUGCAAAGGUCACACAGCUCAGAAGUUACACAGCCGCAAUUCCAGUCCAGCUGUGAUAGAUCCAGCACAAAAAUGUCCCCUGCCUUUAUCCACAUCCGUGGCAGGAGACUUUGCAGCUCUUCCCAUCAGGAGACAGAGCCUGUUUCCCCACCUCUGGCAUCGGGGCUGGCCGUGUGACCUGUCUGGAGCAGCAGAAUGGGGCAGAAGCCUAGGCCACGAGGAGCAUGCACCUCCUGACAACAGACCCAGGUUGAUCAUCUGGGUGACGAGAGGCUCCUGGUCUGGUCACUCCCUCGCCCACGGCGACAGCUGGCCAUCCACGGAAUGUGUGGGUGGGGCCAUGCUAGACCACCCAGCCCCUUGCUCUUCGGCCCGCUGACCAGAGACAUCUCUGGAGCCCAGCCCAGAUCCGCGGAGCCCCAGCGUACUCAAGCAGCACCAACCGGCUGGCUGUGGCGGUGAAUUUUAUGAGUCAACUUGACAGGGCCGUGGCUGCCCAGCUGAUUGGUUAACCGUCAUGCUGGGUGUGUCUGUGAGGGUGUUCCCGGAAGAGAGUAGCAUGUGAAUUGGUAAACUGAGGAAAGCAGAUGGCCAUCCCAGCCUGGGUGGGGCUCAGCCAUCCCGUUGGAAGCCUUAGGAGAACAAAAGGUGACAUGAAGGAGAAUUCUCUUUCUCUGCUUGUCUUUAAGCUGGGACAUGGGUCUCCUCCCGCCUGCGGGCUCUGACUGGGACUUGCCCCUCCCCUCUCCUGAUGGCCAGCUUGUCACCUGCAGAUGGUGGGAUCUCAGCUUGGGUCACUGCGUGAGCCAAUUCCUAUAAUACAUCUCUCUCUCUCCUAUGUGUCUCCUAUUGGUUCUGUUUCUCUGGAGAACCCAGGAUAAUUGGCUGACUGUAGACUCAUGAGCAAUAACAGGUGCUAACUGUUUUAGGCCCCUGGGCCAUGGGCUGGCUUGUUGCGCGGCAAUAGCUAACUGAUACACUGUAUCUGCCUGUGGCCUUGGAGCUGCCCCAUCGCCUUCCGUGCUCUGUGGACCUUUCUCACAGGACAGGUUUCUUCAAACAGCAGCUCAUCUCGGGCUCCUGACACUUUUUAGUUUAAUACAAUUCAGCAAAUAUUUGAGUGACUCUGCUGCCAGGUACGGGGGCUAUAGCAGUAAAUAUGAAACUUUCUGCUGCUGUCUCUUGGAACUUUCUGCUCAUGGGAAGCCGAUGUUAGACAAAUAGUUACAAGUGCAGUGAGCAUUGUGAGAAGUGGGCUACAGGCCCUAUGGGGCCUGAUUUAGGCUGGGGGUCCAAGAAGGCCUCUCAGAGGAGGGGGUUUGACAGCUGUGCUCUCAGGCAAAGGCAAGGGGUGGGGAGGAGAGGGUACUUUCCAGCAGAGGGAACAGCGUGUGAAAAGCCUGGAGGCAAGAAACAGCAUGUUGAGUGGUCCACGGAAGGUUUGUGAAACCCCAAAACUCAGCCAGGGGAUGGCCCUGGGCUCAAAUCCUAGCUCAUCACAUUCAGGCUGCGUGAUCCUGGCAAACUUUUCAUCUCUAAGCUUGUUUUCUUUUCUAUAAAAUUGAGUAGCAGUAGUAUCCAGCUUCCAGGCAUGUGGUAAAAAUAAAAUAUAAUAUGCAUAAAAAACAGCAUUCAGGAUUACCUGUAAGUAUAUUUUCACUAUAAUUUUACAAACAUUUUAUCAAAAAACAGCUCAACCAACACCUAUGUAUC